Long non-coding RNA from Callithrix jacchus (white-tufted-ear marmoset), 1803 nucleotides. RefSeq lists it as uncharacterized. The record is from RefSeq and is a predicted model, not a curated record. NCBI's taxonomy places the organism in Eukaryota, Metazoa, Chordata, Mammalia, Primates, Cebidae.
UGUAUUCUCCUUGAUAUUUCAUGUCUGCACAGAACAACCAGUUAUGCAGACAUGGAGUCUGCAUAGAACAACCAGCCCUGUCCCCAUCCCUCCCUUAGGCCACAUGGCUGUGGCAUCUAUUUUCUUACCAACAACAAAGAUGCCAGCGUUCGCCUAUGAGCAAAACUAAGGCGAACUGUAUUUCCGCUCUAGCUAUUGGCCGGCAGUUUUGCAUUGUGCAUUUCCUGAGAACAUCUUCUUUCCUAAAGCGUAAAAAGCCCAGGACUCAGCCCAGAUAGCAUAUCACGGGAGAAAGGCGGAAACCAUUCUGGCGCACAGCUUUAAUUGAUUGCUUCCCCUCCACUGGGCCCACCGCGUGGCUUACAUUGCUCAGAGCUCAGUGCUGCUGAAAGAGACCCAUGGCUCCCCAACCUGCUCUGAGACAGGCCAGGAACUCAGGGAAUUACGACAGUCAAGAACAAUAUGAACAACGAGUGAAUCCCACUGGACCAUAAAUCUUCACAAAAUUGUAGAGAAGGGGUGACAAGAGGCAAGCAGUGGGGCAGACAGUGUCGCUGUGUCGGAAACCCCAGGUCAGAUCAACACGCAGCACAGCCACUGCAAAGGAAAGAGACAAGGUUGAGUUCUUGCUUCUCAGGAGCUGGCGUGCUUUCACCAUCGAUGCUCUCCUGCCUCAUAUGGGUAUGACCUUUUCAUCUCCAUUCUCCAGCCUAUCACAAAAUGCACUUGGUAUUCACAUGGAGCUAAGACAGUCAAUAGGAAUAAGCACCACUCAGCAACUCCAUGGUCCAAGAAUUUCAGAGCACCACCAGCCAGCAGUUCAUCAGACCUCAGGCCAUUUACCUCAGCCAGAGAGAGCUGCACCAUGCCAUCCUCGUCCUUGUCCAGAAGCCUGAAUAAUUCUAAAAUGCCAGAGAAGGAAUAAAAUUAGAUAAGGCUGUUUCUGGACUUUGAAACAGUCAGAGAGCUGCCUCUGUCUACCCCAUCCCCACCUGGGGAACUCCCCUUUCCCCUACAUCCCCUCCCCUCCAGGCCCCACCUAGCCCCAGGGACCUCAAAAAGCUAGACCCAGAGCACACAAUCCGAUCUGGGGGAUCGGAUGUCCCUGCCAAAACAGACAAACCCCGUUGCCAGCAGAGAUGGUCCCUUUGGUGUCUCCACCCUCAGAAGCUUUAUAUCAGAAACGUGCAAUUACUUUAUCAGGGUGCAGUAUUGUCAAACAGACGGUGGUUGUGUUGUUUGUGGGUAAUACAGUCCCUUAGCUUUGUCUCUGGCUAACUGACCUUAACCCACUAGAAUAUAACACCUACGAAACCUCAGUGGAAGGAAAAAUCCCUCCCUAAUAAGGUAUCUAAUUUCAAGGCCCCAGAUGGCAGGAAAACACCUUCCAGAGAACACCCCUGAUUUCUUUGCUGGAAGGUGGCACAUGUUCUCAAUAUGAUUCCUACUGAAAAUCAAAUAUAGAUAGACACUAAAAGCCAUCUAAGAAUGUUACUGAAAUGCAUUCAUCUUGGCCCAGUGACUGCACACUAUAUUUGCAUGAUAGUCUGGAUGGCAGCUUUGUAAUCUCCAAAAACAGGCAGCCUCAGUCCUGGGUCUGGCCAGCCUGGACUUCCUCAGCCCCUUCAGGUUCAGCUGCCCCUCACCCCCAAGGUGCCAGUGUUACAGAGGCCCUGUCUAUUAUUUUCUGGGCCCCCAGCCUCCGAAAGGCAAUGUCUGUUUCUAAAUGCCCCUUGGCCCUACCCACCUUGCACCUUGGGAUUAAUAGGAUGGGGUUGGAGGACAGAAUGACUCACUGAAGAG